GCCUGGGUGGCUCAGUCGGUUGAGCGUCCGACUUUGGCUCAGGUCACAAUCUCAUAGUUUGUGGGUUUGAGCCCCGCAUCAGGCU
Molecule: transfer RNA, 85 nt
Filed under: Felis catus (domestic cat)
Lineage: Eukaryota; Metazoa; Chordata; Mammalia; Carnivora; Felidae
Rfam family: tRNA
About the family: Transfer RNA (tRNA) molecules are approximately 80 nucleotides in length. Their secondary structure includes four short double-helical elements and three loops (D, anti-codon, and T loops). Further hydrogen bonds mediate the characteristic L-shaped molecular structure. tRNAs have two regions of fundamental functional importance: the anti-codon, which is responsible for specific mRNA codon recognition, and the 3' end, to which the tRNAs corresponding amino acid is attached (by aminoacyl-tRNA synthetases). tRNAs cope with the degeneracy of the genetic code in two manners: having more than one tRNA (with a specific anti-codon) for a particular amino acid; and 'wobble' base-pairing, i.e. permitting non-standard base-pairing at the 3rd anti-codon position.
Source: Rfam by way of RNAcentral